Molecule: long non-coding RNA, 268 nt
Filed under: Medicago truncatula (barrel medic)
Lineage: Eukaryota; Viridiplantae; Streptophyta; Magnoliopsida; Fabales; Fabaceae
Description: long non-coding RNA (MTRU_LNC003220)
Source: RNAcentral
AUAAAAAACAAUUAAACAAUUGAAAAACACAGAGAUUAGAAGAUUUACCUAGAAAUUACGAUUUCGCGGUGACGAAGACGGAACACGGUUUCACGGCGACUCGGCGACUGUGCGAUAGCUUCUGAGAAACAAUUUCAAAAUGAAAAUCAAAACAAAAAUACAUAGAUUGAAGUUAGUUGAAGAAGGAUUUGAGUUAUGUUACCAUUUUGAGCUGGAAUUUGAGACAGACGUUGAAGAUGUAGAGAGACAGCGAUGGAGAGAGACAACG